GACCGAGGGUGCAAACGUUGUUCGGAAUUACUGGGCAUAAAGCGCACGUAGGUGGUCUGCUAAGUCAAGUGUGAAAUCCCCCGGCUCAACCGGGGAAUUGCGCUCGAUACUGGCAGGCUCGAGGUUGGUAGGGGUGAGCGGAACUCCAGGUGGAGCGGUGAAAUGCGUAGAUAUCUGGAGGAACACCGGUGGCGAAAGCGGCUCACUGGACCGAAUCUGACACUGAGGUGCGAAAGCUAGGGUAGCAAACGGG
This 253-nucleotide ribosomal RNA is filed under the name uncultured bacterium. RNAcentral describes it as "partial 16S ribosomal RNA". It matches the Rfam family "Bacterial small subunit ribosomal RNA", at positions 524 to 776 of the family's 1533-position model. The record is from RNAcentral.